GAUGAACGCUGACAGAAUGCUUAACACAUGCAAGUCAACUUGAAUUUGGGUUUUUAACUUAGGUUUGGGUGGCGGGCGGGUGAGUAACGCGUAAAGAACUUGCCUCACAGCCAGGGACAACAUUUGGAAACGAAUGCUAAUACCUAAUAUUAUGAUAAUAGGGCAUCCUAUAAUUAUGAAAGCUAUAAGCGCUGUGAGAGAGCUUUGCGUCCCAUUAGCUAGUUGGAGAGGUAACGGCUCACCAAGGCGAUGAUGGGUAGCCGGCCUGAGAGGGUGAUCGGCCACAAGGGGACUGAGACACGGCCCUUACUCCUACGGGAGGCAGCAGUGGGGAAUAUUGGACAAUGGACCGAGAGUCUGAUCCAGCAAUUCUGUGUGCAAGAUGAAGUUUUUCGGAAUGUAAAGUGCUUUCAGUUGGGAAGAAACAAAUGACGGUACCAACAGAAGAAGUGACGGCUAAAUACGUG
RNAcentral lists this ribosomal RNA (467 nucleotides) under uncultured bacterium. RNAcentral describes it as "partial 16S ribosomal RNA". It matches the Rfam family "Bacterial small subunit ribosomal RNA", at positions 28 to 507 of the family's 1533-position model. The record is from RNAcentral.